GCUGGGCGCGGUGGUGCAUGCCUAUAGUCCCAGCUACUCUGAAGGCUGAGGUGGGAGGAUCGUUUGAGCCCAGGAGUUCUGGGCUGUAGUGCGCUAUGCAGAUUGGGUGUCUGCACUAAGUUCAACAUCAAUAUGGUGACCUCCUGGGAGCGGGGGACCAUCAGGUUGCCUAAGGAGUGGUGAACCAGCCCAGGUCAGAACCGGAGCAGGUCAAAACUCCCGUGCUGAUCAGUAGUGGGAUCACGCCUAUGAACAGCCACUGCACUCCAGCAUGGGCAACAUAGGGAGACCCCAUCUCU
RNAcentral lists this signal recognition particle RNA (299 nucleotides) under Cebus imitator (Panamanian white-faced capuchin). RNAcentral's name for it is "Metazoan signal recognition particle RNA (ENSCCAG00000014706.1)". It matches the Rfam family "Metazoan signal recognition particle RNA". Rfam says of the family: The signal recognition particle (SRP) is a universally conserved ribonucleoprotein. The record is from RNAcentral. Lineage: Eukaryota; Metazoa; Chordata; Mammalia; Primates; Cebidae.